GUCAUUGGAGGAAUGCGUCUCCAUGGAAUCUGACUGCUCCGUCAUAGAGUUGUCUGGAAGAUUUCAAACAGAUGGAGAAAGACGUUGCUGCCCGUCGAGACUGGGGAUGCACUGCGCAUACUGGGAGAGCUGCAGGAAAUU
Long non-coding RNA from Stegastes partitus (bicolor damselfish), 141 nucleotides. RefSeq lists it as uncharacterized. The transcript has 2 exons. The record is from RefSeq and is a predicted model, not a curated record. NCBI's taxonomy places the organism in Eukaryota, Metazoa, Chordata, Actinopteri, Pomacentridae.